CCUCAACCUCGUACAACUGAUGAGCCUCACGAGAAUCUGAUGCAAGAAUGCAUGAAAAAGGACACAGGCCUCUCAUGGAUAUCAACCAAAUGUGACAAGCUUAAGUAAGACUAACACUUCUCCUCAUGUUCAGGUCAGAUGGGGCAAGCCACUGGGAGGGAAAGGGUCCCAAAAGCCUGCAAGAGAGCCAGAGACACACCCUGUUCACACUGCUUGGAGUUCCACAAGAAGACCAAGCUACACAACUGUAACACAGAGUUUGCAUCUGGCUGCAUUCCAGAUGUUCGUGGAGACCCAGAUCAGCAGGACAAUAUGGCUCAGUGCAGACUACAUCCUCCAUGUUUAUGAUGGCCACGUGAAUGAAUGCAUAGUCAUCCUCAUCUGCCAAUCAAGUAAAGGAAAAUGUAGAGGUGGACACUUGGAGAAGAGAGAACACUGGUGU
RNAcentral lists this long non-coding RNA (442 nucleotides) under Mus caroli (Ryukyu mouse). RNAcentral describes it as "lncRNA (MGP_CAROLIEiJ_G0004703.1)". Lineage: Eukaryota; Metazoa; Chordata; Mammalia; Rodentia; Muridae. The record is from RNAcentral.